Molecule: ribosomal RNA, 845 nt
Filed under: uncultured euryarchaeote
Lineage: Archaea; Methanobacteriati; Methanobacteriota
Description: bacterial SSU rRNA
Rfam family: Archaeal small subunit ribosomal RNA
Source: RNAcentral
AAGUGUAAAAAGCUUGGCGAAUAAGGGGUGGGUAAGACUGGUGCCAGCCGCCGCGGUAACACCAGCGCCUCGAGUGGGGAUCGCGAUUAUUGGGUCUAAAGCGUCCGUAGCAGGCUCGGUAAAUGCUUUGUGAAAUCGGCAGGCUUAACCUGUCGGCGUGCAGAGUAGACUGCAGGGCUCGAGAUCGGGAGAGGUUAGAAGUAUUCCUAGGGUACCGGUAAAAUGGGUUAAUCCUGGGAGGACUACCUAUGGCGAAGGCAUCUAACCAGAACGAUUCUGACUGUGAGGGACGAAAGCUAGGGGAGCAAAACGGAUUAGAUACCCGAGUAGUCCUAGCCGUAAACGCUGCGAGCAAGGUAUUGCGCCUCCCACGAGGAUGCGCAGUGUCGAAGAGAAGUCGUUAAGCUCGCCACCAGGGAAGUACGGUCGCAAGGCUGAAACUUUAAGGAAUUGGCGGGGGAGCGCCACAAGGGGUGCGGCGUGCGGUUCAAUCUAACUCAACGCAGAGAACCUCACUAGGCCCGACGGCAGAAUGAAGGCCACGCUGAAGACGUUACCUGACAAGCCGAGAGGUAGUGCAUGGCCGUCGCCAGCUCGUGCUGUGAAGUGUCCAGUUAAGUCUGGCAACGAGCGAGACCUGUACCCUCUAUUGCUAACGACUUAUAUAUAGGAUCGAGCACUUUGAGGGGACUGCCCUGGAACGGGGAGGAAGGUGCAGGCUACGGUAGGUCUGUAUGCUCCGAAUGGUCUAGGCUACACGCGCGCAACAAUGAUAGGGACAAUGGGAUGCCACUCCGAAAGGAGGAGCUAAGCCUCUAAACCCUAUCCUAGUACAGAUCGAGGCA